Molecule: transfer RNA, 76 nt
Filed under: candidate division WOR-1 bacterium RIFCSPHIGHO2_02_FULL_45_12
Lineage: Bacteria; Bacillati
Also listed under: 2 other names
Description: tRNA-Phe
Rfam family: tRNA
About the family: Transfer RNA (tRNA) molecules are approximately 80 nucleotides in length.
Source: RNAcentral
GGCGCGGUAGCUCAGUUGGUAGAGCAGAGGACUGAAAAUCCUCGUGUCGCCGGUUCAAUUCCGGCCUGCGCCACCA